This is a long non-coding RNA of Culex pipiens pallens (northern house mosquito), 13960 nucleotides long. RefSeq lists it as uncharacterized. The record is from RefSeq and is a predicted model, not a curated record. NCBI's taxonomy places the organism in Eukaryota, Metazoa, Arthropoda, Insecta, Diptera, Culicidae. The transcript is spliced from 5 exons.
GCAUAAAGUUUUAUUAUUUAAAAUUAUUUUUUAAGUUAUUUACUUUGAGUGCUUUAGCAAUUUGUGUAUACACAGUAUUUGUGGUGUUAAUGUCACAAGGGUUUAGAUUGAAUCAUACAAACUUCGAAAUUUUUGUAUUACCCAAUCUCACGUCUCAGACCCAAUGUCACCCCUGAUGAUGGUACCCAAUGAAAAUACAUCUAUAUUACGGUGGUCCAAAUCCGGGCUUUUUUUGGGCUACCCCCUGAAAUCAAAGAUUGACCCAUCACUAGGCUAAAUUCCAAACUUGAGCUCAUUCUGACCACGGGAACCUCUCCCUCCAAUCGCUUAAAGUUUGUAUGGGAACAAUCGACAAAAUGUAUGGAAAAAAGCAACUGUUUUACUUUUUUACCUGUGAAAGGCGCCAUAAUUAUCCGAUUCUUACCAUUUCUCGAAUGUAGAACCUUCAUUAAAUUUAGAACAACUUUCCCGAAGACACCAUAUUUUUAGGAUUUUUCCCGCGAAAUUAUUAGCGCCCAAAACUGACAAUUUUUGCGCGGCCAGCUGUAAGGGGCUACCUAACAACGAUGUUUAUUUCCAUUUCGUACACGCACGUGCUCUCUCUCAGGUUCAAACUGUCUCACGAGCUUGCUCGCCUGCCUGCCUGUUUACCUACAAGCGGGCGCUGUUUCUCUGCUUGAACUUUUGUCGUCGUCGUCGUUUCCGUUUGCUAUCCGCUGCGCUGCGUUCCUGGCAUGUUUAUUAUAAUUUUCAAGAUAUAUUCCGAUAUUUAUUUCGAGAUAUAAAGUUAAAUGUAAUAUGUGAUAAAAAAAAAUAGAUAUCAUAUUAUCAGAGCGUGUGUGAGAGAAUACAAAUUUCGAAGAAUUAGUUCCUCCAUGAAUUGUCAUCUGUUAUUAUUGAGUAAAUUUUUAAAUAGGGAUAUUGUAAUUGAAAUUUAUUUCUAGUUUUUUUUAAAUAGUAUCAUACCAAACUGAAGACUGGGAUUUUAACUAUUCUAGAAAUUAUGGGAACUGUUUUUUCCACUUUUGUAUACUAUCAAACAAGCUUACAAAGAAAACAUUGGAAGUUUUUUCGUAGCCCUAUGAUCACGAUUAUUUUUCAUUCCAUACAAAAUAUUUUAAUCUGUCAAAAAUAAAACAAACUUCCUUACAACAAAUUGCGGUAUAUUUUGCCUUUAACGAUUUAUUAGAGGUUUAUGUCAGAUUCCGAAACAUCCAAAAAGUGCAACGAUGUCUAAAAGAAAAGCCUCAAAAAAAGAGAUUGUUGAGCUAGCUAGUUUUAUAUCUGGAAUCAAAUUGCCUUCUAAUGGACUAGCAGUUGGUCGGAUGAUAUUUAGAGUAAAAAUAAAAUAAAAUUGUAUUACCUGAAGUUUUUUUUUAAUAAUUGAAUCAUUCUCUCUAAUGAGCAUAUACGAACAACUGCUUGUAAGGCUUGGAAAAACGAACAAACCCUGUUCAUUUGCUUCAAUUUUUUAAAUGAGCCUAAGCCAAGGCCUAAGCUGUCUUUUAUUCAAAUUAUUUUUUUUGUGCACUUUUUUAAAAUUUUGACUUAAUCUAACAAUUUAUAUGCUAAAUAUUGCGCAAUUCCCACUAACUUGGACUUCUCACUAAAUUAUUGCUACCGUUCGCACAAUUGCGACUUGUCAAACUGCCUUGGGCGAAUGUCCAGUUUGGUGGAAACUGUGACUGGAAAUGUAAUAAACAACUACUGGUUGCCUAGUUUUUCCAAUUCUUGUUGUCAUAAGUGCGAGAGAAUACACUGAAAAUAUGCCACACUUUUUAUUCAAGUGCCCAAACACUUGAAUGAUUGAAUAAAGUCACAUCGUAGAUCUAAUUGGUUUGUGUUUCAACAUCAAUCCAAACCACUAUCAAAUGCAAGUGUUUGGGCGGUUGACUUUUUGGUAUUUUUUAACAUGUUAUUUUCAUUCGGGUGGCUCAAGCUUUUCAAUUGUUUUGCUCAUGAAUUUGUCCCACCGUCUUGAACUAUUCAAAGUGAUGAGCAAAACACUUGAAAAUGAUCUUAAGAUCUACCCAAAACAGGCACUAUUCAAAGUCAACGUGAUUAUCCACAUGAAUUUAAUGUGUUUCACUGAUUGAUUUUUGCGCGACUCGACAUCGAAGGCUAGAAGCGAGGCAAGAACCAAUAGCACAAAAAACUAUCCCGUCUUCAACUGGCCGGCCGGCGCAGUGGUAGCGUGCACGACUAGCAAGCGAGAACCUGUAAUUCGCUUGUACGUACUUUUAUUUUUCAACACCAUUUAAAAUUCAAGUGUUUGGCUAUUGACAUUAUUUCAUGGCCAAUCACCGAAAUUUCAAGUGUUUUGCGAUUGAUAUUUGAGUGCUCUGUACAGCAGGGCCAGAUCAUGUGUAGAACACUUCGUUGAGCUGUGUAAGUUUUGCUCAGUGUAGGUAGCCCCUUACAGCUAGCCGCGCAAAAAUGGUCAAUUUUGGGCGCUAAUGCCUUCGCGAAAAAAAACCUAAAAAUAUGGUGUCUUCGGGAAAGAUGUUCUAAAUUUAAUGAAGGUUCUACAUUUGAGAAAUGGUAAGAAUCGGAUAAUUAUGGCUCCUUCCACAGGUAAAAAAAUAAAACAGUUGCUUUUCUCAAUACAUUUUAACGAUUUUUCCCAUACAAACUUUAAGCGAUUGGAGGAGGGGGAUACUAUCAAACCAAGCAAGAAUCCCGAAUUUCGUUUAAAUCGGACCACCCCCUCAAUUUUGGUACCUCCCCGAAAAAUUGAUUUUUGGCGAUUUUUGAGCGAAACCUCUAUUUACAAACGACGAUAGCUCAGGAAGGAAAAGGAAAUUAGACGUAGAAUCCAUUUCCGUGAUCAAAGUUUAGAUAAAGAUAUUUUUUAUCUACAUGUAUUGCACAAUUGAAAACUUUAAAUGGCCACAUCUCAAAACAGCACAUUUAUUUUUUAAAUUUGACCCCACCAAUCACCGUAUUCCCCGGCCAAUUUUACAUAAGAAUCACUUAGUGACAGAAACGAGGGGGACGUCACUCCGCGAUAACACACUAAAACGCACAAAAACGAGCUCGAAAAGCAUCAACGCUACUCAUCGUGCCGAGUUUUCACAUAACGCCACCUUAAAGCAAGUUAUCGCAAGUUAACGCGCGUUAAAGCGAGUUAAAGCGACCAGCGUCUGCUCGACUUUUGAACCAGGGAAAUCCAUCUUGCAACCUUGCCGUCGAGCAGUUUUUGGUCAUGUUUGGCAACUCGGUAUUUGUUUUGGUUUUUUUCAAGCAGUUUUGACAAAUGGAAAAAAACAAAGCAAAGCGAUUUUUUGUCAACGGCCGGAAAAGUUUGUUCCGGUGGGAUCGCCGGCUCCACCGUCCACAGAGCACGGCGCACGUUUUGACGACCGGAAAAGUUAACUUUACUCCCGGUGUGUUGUGUUUGAUCGGCGGCUCUAACAUCAAGUCAGGACUUUGGCGGAAAAUCCUGGCGCAAACUCAAGUAGGAGCAAAGUUUUCGGGUAAUGUUUUUUAGCAGUGAGAUUUUAGUUGUGAUUAUUUUAAUUUUGUAUUUUUUUGUAGGCAGAUAAUCGACGCGCUUGGAUGUAGAUAAGCCUAGACUGAGUUCAUUCCAGUGCCGGCGCUAUUUAUCACCACCUGUUGCCCUGAUUGUGACCUUCCCCCAGCGAAUUGCCGAAACGUUCGCCGAGGAGGAGAAGGGCGAAUUCGCCUGGCUGUCCUCGUUUGUGGGGGGCAUCCCAACAAUCCGGCGGCCAAGAUCCUCGUGGACAUGAGUCGCUACCAGGACGCAGGGUUAGCGAUGGAACGACUUCCGUGACGGUGCUAGGUCAGAGUUGCUGCGCGAGGCGGAAAAGUUGAUCGAGCAAAAGUUGCACCCGCAGACGAUUAUUGCCGGGUGGAGAGCGGCCACGCAGGCGGCACGUUCGGCGCUGAUUGCCGCGGCUCAGAACAAUUCGAAGGUUGCGGAAAAGUUCCGAGAGGAUUUAAUGAACAUUGCCUGGACGACGCUCAGCUCGAAGAUUCUGUCCCAACAAAACUACUUUGUCAAGCUGACCGUCGAUGCCGUGAUGCGAUUGAAGUGUUCUGGCGAAUUGACCGCGAUAUAGCGCAACCGGCGGUUGCUUGGAGGAUUCGUUCCUGGACGAGGGCCAGGUGUGCACAAGCCGAAGCGCACCGAGAACGCAAAGAUCUUGAUCGCCAACACGCAGCUGGCCACGGACAAGAUCAAGGUUUUUGGAUCGAGCAUCAAAAUGGACUCGAUGGCGAAAAUUGCCGAGCUGGAGGUCGCCGAGAAGGAGAAGAUGAAGGAAAAGCUGACAAAUCGGACCAGGUUCGUCUCGGUCGUUGCGAUCUGAUCGAGCAGGUCAUAAUCGGCGAAUACACGCUACUGCGCUUCAGCGGAGUUCCUCUCGGAGAGGCCUGUACCGUCGUAAUCCGUGGGGCAACCCAGCUGAUCAUCGACUAAGCGGAUCGUUCGCUGCACGACGCCCUUUGCGUGCUGGCCGCGGAAACGUCCGGUAAGGAAUCGAUGUCCAUAAAAGCAUUCGGUCGCGUUCUGCUCUAGCUGCCGACGACAAUCGCCGACAACGAAUAGUACCGUUUGUAACGCUUAGCUAAACGAAGAGUGCACGUGUCGAAUCGAAGGACGCUGCAGCGAUGGCAGGACCUGGACAUCCUGGACAGCCGGAGCUUGAGCUUACACAAGUGAUCAUCAGCGCAACAUGGUCUCCAGUUGUGCGUGUAAUUUAGACUUUUAUCCCGACAUAAGCAACCUCGUGCCAGCGAUGGUGACGGCAAAGUCUGCAUAUUUUUCACGGCCCGUACGAGCAGCUGAGUGCCUACACUAAAAGUAAUGCCGUGCGCAGAGUUUCGAGUUUCUCCUGCUCCUCGCGGAUACCAAUAGUUCCGUCGGCGCCAGAUCAAUAACCACCUACCUCAAGCUGAACAUGGUCACCAAGAAUCGGCGCAUCGCCGUUACGUACUUCACUCUCCUCUCGCUCAAGUCGAUCCGCAACCUGGUCUACAAGCGUGGCUUCGUCAAGCAACGACAAUGCUGUAUCACGAUCAUGGAUCAGAUCGAUUGCUGGACGCACUCAACCAGCUGGGCAAUUUUCCGAGAAAGUUCAACGGCUCAAGUGCAUUGUUCAGCAAGCUGGACGUUCCCAAGCACUGGUCUCGCGCAUCUAAAUUACUGCUUACGACCGGUUCAACCUGAUGCGCAAGGAAAUGCCCCACCCGCGGCAUGUACAGUUUUUGUGGAAAAGUUUUCUGGCUGCCGUAGAACAUCAACUUCUGUUGACGAUUUCACCCGAUCCCGCCGCUCUUGAUCAACCACGGCCCCGAUCUUGCCCGUUUUCUCAUCAAAUAAAAUCAGUGAUAAAAUUAUAAAAAAGAUUAUUUUUAGAUGCAGUUUAGUUUCCUUCAGCGAAAGAUUUAUUUAUUAAAAAACGCAUCCCUCUACAAUUGAUUAGUUACUGUUCACAGAAGUGUUGCGUCUUAAUUGACGGACAGUUUGCGUAGCACUAUCCUGGAUGGUCACAUUUCUUAAAGUUUUCACGUGGUUUGAGGUCGAGUCCUUCUUGAACUACCGUUUCUUCGCUUCCCAACGUCCGCAAUCUUGACUCUUCGAGUAUCUUGAUGGAAGUCUUGGCAUUGUCGUUCUGAUUCGUUGCAUUUUGUCGAUCACUUAGUCGCUUUAACAUCGUGAGUUUUCUCGAACGAGAUUCCGGCCAGUUCCGAUUAGCACUCCGACAGAUUUUAGAAUGCCCUAAAUGUCACGGCCAGCUCAAAGAUCUCUCUGACCACCUCCAUGUUGGCACCACUCUUCUCCACGGUUCCUUCAGCCUGCUCGCCUCAAGUCGACGUGAUCAACUCCGGAAGCAAAUGCGCACGAUUCAUUGAUAUUGUCACAACUUUCAUCUGCUCAGACCAGCGGCGCUGGAGAAGUUAGUCCGGGUGGCACGCUUGAAGACGGACCGCGUCCCGUCGAUGUAGAGCGUGCCCUUCUUGGCCGUUCCUGGUCAAUCCUUUUUGCGAAUUCCCAACCUGAGAAGGCUGUCUCCACAAGGAAAUCUACGAAAGACCGCGUCAGUGAUGGAGCCGUCUCGAGUCCCUGGAACACAAACCUGUGGCAGGCGUAGGAAACGGUUCCGGCGGAUGAUUUUUCCCUGAGACUUUUCUUUCAAGAGGAAAACAAAGCAAACUGCUCGAAUGGUUUAACAACGAGAACUGUCAUUUGCUUUUGACAGUUCUCGCUGUCAAAAAAAUCGAGCAGUCUGAUGCGUGAUCGCAACAAAAGGUAAGCCAAAAAGCAAGUUAACGCGGUUAACGCGAGUUAAAGCAAGUUAAAGCGGAAAAGCAAAUGUUAGCGCUGCAAAGGUUUGAAAGAGGAGCUUUAUCGCUCGGUGAACGCAGGAGUGACGUCCCCCUCGGACAGAAAUGAAUAUUUUUCGUUCCAGAGAUAUCGAAUUUUAAUGUUUUGAGUUUUUGAGAUUACCUAAAUCAGCUUCAUUCGCCGCAUCUGAAGCAAACUGGUGUGCUGAUCAAUAACUGCUACCUGGUUAUUUAUUGAAAUAAGAUUUCUUCACAAAUAAUCAUUAUCGAAUUAGGCAAAAAAUUAAUGAACAACACUUUUGGAAACUGUAUAAUCGUAAAUGUUUAUUUGUUUAAAUAAAAAUUACAAAAAAGUUAGUUCUAUACAGUGCACGGCAUGGUGGAAGCAAAAUAUUAUAAAUCGAGAACACCCAUAGAUUGUGAAAACCCCCCGAUUGUGUUCUAAGUCAAAGACAGAUACCUGUCGAAUGCAACCCAGAACAUCCUGAUUGGUUGACAAUUGCCGGAGAUAGGGGAAAUAUACCCUUUCUAAUCAAACACCUAUCUUCGUCAUAUGGAGAGUUUGAUGCUCGAUUAAAGUUCCAAAAAUACUAUUUAGGCUGUAAACUUACCAGCAACAGCACCGCCUGGAGUAAGCACGCAAAUGUAUGCCACUUACUGGGCAAAAAGAUCAAAUUUAAUGCACUUUUGAUCAUAAUUUCUAUUUUGCGAGACCAUUUCUCAUCAUUUUGGUGGCACACACAUCCACACGCAAGAUCAGAGUUUAACUGCUUAACGAAAGUCGCCAUCAAUAUCUUUUCACUUGCGCUAACGAUUGCCAACCUCCUGUGGCCGAAUGGUUACGGGUUUCGCCUCACAAGCGGAAAGUCAUGGGUUCUUCUCAGGGUGGCAGCCUUAGGUUUAAGUUCAGAGGUAGCAGCAACCGUAUGAGUAUAAAACGGUUGCUUCACGUGCUCUUCUAGCAUGUGGAUCAAUCUUGGGAUAUUCCUUUGCGCCUCUUCCCAAAAUACUUUCCUCGUGUCUUCGCAUGUAAAUAAUGCCCAGCCGAUCGGUAUUGCACUGCAGUCCAGUCGCAUUGUCCAGAUCAGAGCAAAGGGAACACCGCAAAAAUAGCACCGCAAAAAGACAAUUGUCUUUACAAGACCCCGCGCGGCAAAUAAUAGCUGCUGGGAAGAGCUUGAAAAAUGACACGAAAAAAUUGUCACCGCGGAUCUAGCGAUACAUAGCGCACAAGGCACAAGGAAUGGAUUUUACAGCAUCUGGAUGGAACAGCACUUUCCCUCUCAAUAGGGACUGUGUUAUAGAUCUGGAAAUGCUUAAUAACAGUAAAAAUGGGUAACACGAUAUAAUAGUCCUUGUAAUCAGGAUUCCGUGUCUUAAUACUCAAACAGAAAAAAAACGAUUUCAAAGCGCAAUGUUCAAUGUUCACAAAAAGUUGCUCUACUCGUUGGUGUACUUGGUUUUACUGAAUUUCAAGGAACACUCCAGAUUAUCCAGCAUCAUUCAAACAAGACCGCUUAUUAGGCUUAAAAUGGGUUUAUUUCCCCUACAUGUCGUUAAAGUUAAAGCAGUGCGUGGCCGAAUGGUAACGCUGUCCGCUUUGUAAGCGGAUGAUUCUGGGUUCGAUUCCCAUCUGCUCCAACCUUCUAUCGGAUGAUGAAGUAAAACGUCGGUCCCGGCCUUGGUUGUUGUUAGGCCGUUAAGUCAUUCCAGGUGUAGGAGUCGUCUCCAUGCCAUAAGUACAAACAACACACCAAACCAAGCCUACUCCGGUGGAAUCGCUGGCGGCGGUUGGACUCGCAAUCCAAAGGUCGUCAGUUCAAACACUGGGGUGGAAGGUUCCUUGGAGUAGAAAGAGGUUUGGGUGCUCUCCCCAUUCAAGCCUUCGGACUUCUAGGUUCGAGCAGAAACUUGCAAUAGAGACCACAAAAGACCCGGGGGUCGUUAAUGUGGAUGGUUUGAUUUUUUUUGUCGUUAAAGUUGGUGUUUCAAAAAAGUAUUUUAUCGAUUUUACCCGGUCACGUAAAUUUCUAGCAGAGCACCCAGUCACGACGUUCUAGCAGGAUUCUAGCAGAGUUCUUACAAGGCUGGUUAUUCUUAGAGCAUUCUAGCAGAAAUGUUCCAUCGUUCUAGCAGGAUUCUGACAGAACCAGCUCUGCUAGAAUAUUUCGUGACUGGGCAAGAAUGCAAGAAUCCUGCUAGAAUAAUUCUAGCAGGUCUGCCAGAUUGCUGUGAGAAUUUUGUUAGAACUUUCUGGCAGAGCAAAUUUGGCGAAUUAAUGAGAAUGACGUAAUUUUCGCCAAACCGCAUUGUGACCGCCAUCUUGUGAAAAAAUCUUGUUGGCAAAAGCCACAUUUUUUUAUUUUGGUCACAAAAUUUGUAUUCAGUGCAUUUUUGUUGGUUUCCUGACCAUUUGGAGUUGGUAAGAUGAUUUUGAAUAGCUCGUGUACUUUGAAGUUGCAAAAAUUUCUUUAUUACAAUUCCGAUCGGCAACUCCGGUAGUAACGACAGAACUUAACCACUACACUCAAAUCCCGGUGGUUUGACACCAACUGUUGUCAAACUAACGGGGCCCCUUUUACACGGAGUUCACACACACUACCAAACGUUUGUUUUGAUAGUGUGCUUGAGCGCCGUGUAAAAAGUGACAGUUCGUCACUUUUUAGUUUGACUCUGACCAACCAACGGGGUACAAACUAAAAAAGUGUCAAACGAAAAAGCGACCAACCACCGGGGGUUGAGUGUAUUUAAAACUUUGGCAGCCGCCUGACGGCCAUCACAUCAUCUACACAGAAAAAAAAUGAUGGUAAUAAUCAUCAGGAAAUGGUGACAGAUUUUAUGUAAAAAAAAUGAUUAAUUUUACCCCAGAAAAUGAUGAAUUUUCAUCAGUUUUUGAUGAAUAUUUCAUUCAUCAGGUUCACAUUUUUACACAUUUUUUAUGUAAUACACUCAACCCCCGGUGGUUGGUCACUUUUUCGUUUGACACUUUUUUAGUUUGUACCCCGUUGGUUGGUCAAAGUCAAACUAAAAAGUGACGAACUGUCACUUUUUACACGGCGCUCACGCACAUUAUCAAACCAAACGUUUGGUAGUGUGUGUGAACUUCGUGUAAAAGGGGUGUCAAACUAAAAAGUGACCCCGUUCGUUUGACAACAGUUGGUGUGAAACCAUUGGGGUUUGCGUUAUUACUCAAAAAAAGAGGUAAUAUUCAACCUACCAAAUUUUCAACAUUCCAAAAUUUAACUUUUUUUUCUGUGUAAGGAUACUCCCGAUCAUUCCCCCCAGCAGGAGAUUUCGGCCGAACCACCAAAAGUGUAAAAAUAGUAGAAGCCAGGAAUGAUCCAAAGGGAAGUAAAAAAAGAACAGUGACGGUGAUUUUUGUUUUCCCUACACAGCAGAAAAUAAUGUAAAAAUGGAAGGUUGAAAACAGAAUGUUGAAAAAAAGAAUGAUGAAUUUUACCUCUCAAAAAAAAAAUCCUUUUUUAAUUGUUGAAUAAGGGAGCGUACUUUUAUUUCGUAACCAAAAAAAAUAGGAUCUUUAGACCCCAUCCCCUCCCUCGUAACAAAAUUUCCAUACAAAUUUUAAAAAUUAUGGAUGGAGCGUAACACGGCCUCCGACCCCCUACCCCUACUGCGUUACGUAAUAAAAGAACGCUCCCUAACGGUUUUUUUUUACAAAAAACUUUAUACACAAAAAUGUGUAACAUUACCUAUUUUUAAUGAAUAUUCAACAUUACCACGGGAUUGAAACUCGUCUGAAAAACCUGUAUCAUUUUCUCAUUCGAAACAGUGGCGCCACGUGGUGGUAGCUGCCCUGUUUAUUACACUGUGAAAUUAUCCAUGGUCAAUCCAAGGAACCAGAAGGUGAUAACAGAAAUGUCCGCUUAAAAGGGGUGCUGCAAAAAAACUUAUUAUUUUUAACAAAUUUUCGACUAAAUCAGCAACGAAUUACAAGUUUGACAGUCCAACUACCGUUAAAAGUGGGUUUUGUUAUUUGUUUUUGCAAAACCGCAUAUUUUUAACGAAAUUGCCAAAAAUAUUCGUAAUCACCUUUUGCCUCUUGGUGGCGCUUUGUGUUAGUAUGUGUGUGGUCGAUGUUAACGCAAAAUCCACAUAACACAGAUCUGUGUAAAUAAAUUACACAGAUUGUAGAACAUGUUCUAGCUGUCAAAACUGUGUACUUUUAUAACACAGAUCUGUGUAAAAAAUUACACAGAUUUUCGAUCAGCUUUCGUUUCAAAUCUGGGUAAAAACCAAAAAACAUAAGAUGGCGACUUUCAUGCAGCUCCGAGAAACUUGGUAAGUUAUUUCUCGUGAUUUUUUCCAUGAAUUAUUGUUAAAUUGUCUUUCUCUAUUAGAUUUUUUAUCAUUUCGGCCAUCGGAAUCAGUCCUAAAUUGGAUUUUCAACUUUUCAGGUAAUGCAUCUCAUGGAAAAUAGCUAACCUUUAUUCUAACCUCUCACGAUUUUUAUUCCAGAUCGGUAGUUUUCUCUUGGAUGUCCUACUUCGUGUGCGGCAGAAGCGCCAGGCUUGCUCGCUGCGAAACUAUCUACACCAGCUAUUCCAGAGGAGGAGUUCCGAAGACAACACGAGCAAACGGAUACUGCGGCUCCUUCAAAUAUUUCAAAAAAUCAAAUGUUUAUUAUGUUUAAAAUCUCAGACUUAAGCUAAUAAAAUGUGCUUUAUUUUUAAAAUAUAUGUUCAAAAUCAUCUUCAGAAUCAAAACCAUAUUUUAUAUUCUACCCAGAUUCUGUGUAAAAUUUUACCCAGAUCUGUGUAAAAUCCUACACAGAUCUGUGUAAAAUUUUACACAGUUUGUUUAAUAAAAAUUACACAGAUUUGACAGACAGCGGCUGUACACAGAUCUGUGUACAAGGCUUCUACACAGAUUCUGUGUAUUCCAGGUUUUGGGCAAUCUGUGUCAAAUUUUACACAGAUCUGUGUUAUGUGGAUUUUGCGUGUUUGCGGACGUGCACGCAGAACACAGAACAGUGAGAACUAGCGAAAAUGCCUCACUUUCUUCUGAUACAAGUCGCCAUAUUGAAAUUGCUUGAAGAUUCAUACCCGUGACAUUACUUAUGCUACUCGUAUACUUGAUUAAUACACGGACGAAAUUAAUAUUCAUCAAAUUCAGCAAAAAUGUUCGCUUUGUGAAAAUUCUGUGUUCAACCAAUAUAAAAAUAACUAAAUCCGAGACCGUUGUAGAUGAUAACUUAUCGGAUGAUUUCACAAUGAUGAAUUGCACCACUAUCGAAACAAGUUGGCCAUGUUGACUUCAAGGCGCGAAAUAGUCGGAAGAAGCUGGACAUCUUCCCAAAGCAGUCCAUCGGCGCCGCAUGGUGUCGAAUGAAGCACAGACAACAGACGUUUGGGCUCGAUUCUUCCCUUGUGUAAAUCAUUGCUACAGUUGUUUUAGUUGUGGCAAUCCGUUUGUGGCGCUGUAGUUGCUUUGCCCUGACACAUUGCCCACUGUCAAAAUAUCGCUUUCCGCCUACUGUCAUUUUCUAUUUUGUCGGUUGUCAACGUUUGUAAUCGUUUGUUCUGGAUGAAAAGUUGAUUUCAGCCGAUUUCAGCAAAAUCUCUCGCGCUUGCAGCUGCUUGACAAAUGUGAGGCAACCAAAGUGGCCAACCUGGUUCCUGAACCGAUUUUAGCCCGGUGUCAUCAUCAACGCAACGGAAGCUGCCACACUCCCCCCGCCUGGUGCCACUCAUGGAAGAGGAUGGGAAUGGGAGGGGGUGGGGGUGUUUGAGGAUCGCUUGCACUGGAAAUCCGGUGGGGGAAUCUGACGCGCCGGGGAGAACAUUCAAAAUUUAGGCCUUUGGUAUGGCGACGAGGGUUCGCCGGAAGUGGCGGAACUUGAAAGUGGGGUGGGUUUCGAGGGCGUUGAAGAGGUUGGUGUCUUGGAGGUGAGGGUUGAAGUGAUCGUGGUAGCUGGUUUGUUGGUUCCGGAGAUAAUCUUCGGAAUACGGUCGUUUGGGGCCAAAAAGUUUACGGGGUUGGCCGUGAUAGUAGCUCUUGCUGACGGCGCCGAUGACUUCCAGACUUUAUCGUGUCAUACCUCGCUAUUUUUCCUUCUUCGACAGUUCCGGAUUGUUUCGUUUCUGGUUCCGGAUCUUUUAUCCUCCAAGAAACGCUUGCCCAUCCUCCCGAUUUCCACCGAGUCUCCUCCUCCUUUUCGCUCCCCUCUGUUGGUUUUGUUUAUAAACACAACCAGCAAGAAUUUGACAGCCUCAAGCGCGGCCUUGGUUGCUGUGUUUAAAAAAGCAUCAGACUAGACUAUUUUUCAAUAUCAAUGAUUAAAUGAAAAAAACUUUCAUGUGCUCGUAAAUCGUGUUAAUUAAUAAUUAAAGUAGAUUGACUAUAGCAUUAAAUCGUAAUCUUUACCUAUUUAAUUUUUUUUUUUUUUGCAAGAUUGAAAUAAUAUAUUUUUUAAAUAUUUCUGGGUAAUGCAUUUUCAAACACACCUUCUCAGAAAACCAUCAUGGCUGCUUUAGAGAGUGGCAAUAGGCUAACAGAUGGCGUUAGUAGAUUAGCAGGAUGCGGCAGCCAUGUUUUUACACACGAUUUUCAAAUUAUUUUGUUCUAGCCGCUACGUCUGUUGUCUGUGAAUGAAGGUUAGCUCGCGGUGGGCUUCCGGCCAAGCUGCAACGUCGUCGGGAUGUGGAAUUCCCCCGGAAGCCGCACGCUCAUCUCCCCGAAGCAGUCCAUCGGCGCCGCUUGGUGUCGAACGAAGAUGAGCUCCCGGUGGGAUUCCGGCCAAGCUGCAACGUCGUCGGGAUGAGGACUUCGCGCCUCCCCGUCGGAGACUGCUCGAUCAAAAUCGGUAUCCAGGACGAGUGAAAAAGUGAAACUUUAACGACCUCUUAAGAAGAAAAAUGUUCAUUCAGUUGGAUUAAUGUCGGUGAGAAUAGAUUUCUUCGAAAUGCACUGUAUUGUUGUGUUAAUAAAACUGUUGUUUAGCAUUUUAUUUUGCUUGCUUUUAUUUACAUUGACGACUUUGACAUGAUAACCAAUUCGAUACCUAUCCCUGGUUUCAAAAUAGGGAUUUGUGUAAUAUUACACUUUUUUUUUGUACAUACAUGUGUGUAAUUUUAAGUGUUUAUUUUUACCAAGGUGAUGUGCAUGCUUUUGCAUGCGAUUUUACCAUCGGAUUUUUUGCUGUGUAGGGGUGGGGAAGGAGCGCACUUCACCCACGUGUGACUUUCACCCGGACGCUGUAAACCAAACCUUCCUGUCAAGCUACAUCUCUGGUGAACCCGUGCGCAGGAGAACAGGACCUGAUAAUCCGUACAGUUUUGCUUUCCGAUCUGUGCAGCAAUGGGAAGUGGUGAAUGCUGUGUGGGAUAUUAGUUCUAACGCUACUGGACUUGACGGACUGCCGAUUACCUUCGUCAAGAUCAUCUUGCCACUGACCAUACAGCAAGUUUGAAUGUACCUUGAACAAAAUCAUCCAUUAAUCAAAUGAAGCUGGCUCACAAUAUAAAAAUCGGUUUCAUAUGACCAAUCUUAUACACCAUAAAGCAGAUUUGGGGUUUUUGCUGCAUGGCACUACUUUGAUACCGCCCAUGACAAAGGCCCUAGUCAUGGCCUCGGGGUACUCUAAAACGGUUAACAACACGUAAAAAACGGUGCAUUAAAAAUAACCCAAUAA